GGGAUAAAGUGAUCCACGUGUGGAUUAUUGUAGGUACCCUACGAAUAAGGAUCGGCUAACUCCGUGCCAGCAGCCGCGGUAAUACGGAGGAUCCGAGCGUUAUCCGGAUUUAUUGGGUUUAAAGGGUGCGUAGGCGGAUUUUUAAGUCAGUGGUGAAAGGUUGACGCUCAACGUUAACAUUGCCAUUGAAACUGAAGAUCUUGAGUACAAAUGAGGUAGGCGGAAUGUGUUGUGUAGCGGUGAAAUGCUUAGAUAUGACACAGAACACCAAUUGCGAAGGCAGCUUACUGGGAUGUAACUGACGCUGAGGCACGAAAGCGUGGGGAUCAAACAGGAUUAGAUACCCUGGUAGUCCACGCAGUAAACGAUGAUUACUAGCUGUUAGCGAUAGAAUGUUAGUGGCUAAGCGAAAGCGAUAAGUAAUCCACCUGGGGAGUACGUCGCAAGAGAU
RNAcentral lists this ribosomal RNA (451 nucleotides) under uncultured Bacteroidales bacterium. Its description in RNAcentral is "bacterial SSU rRNA". It matches the Rfam family "Bacterial small subunit ribosomal RNA", at positions 443 to 895 of the family's 1533-position model. The record is from RNAcentral. Lineage: Bacteria; Pseudomonadati; Bacteroidota; Bacteroidia; Bacteroidales.